Molecule: non-coding RNA, 72 nt
Organism: Carcharodon carcharias (great white shark)
Lineage: Eukaryota; Metazoa; Chordata; Chondrichthyes; Lamniformes; Lamnidae
Source: the annotation of a RefSeq genome assembly
AGGAAUGUAGCUCAGUGGUAGAGUGCAUACUUCACAUGUAUGAGGCCCUGGGUUCAAUCCCCAGCAUUUUCA